This 352-nucleotide unclassified non-coding RNA is filed under the name soil metagenome. RNAcentral's name for it is "partial contains 5.8S ribosomal RNA, internal transcribed spacer 2, and large subunit ribosomal RNA". The stretch from base 1 to 120 matches the Rfam family "5.8S ribosomal RNA", at positions 35 to 154 of the family's 154-position model. The record is from RNAcentral.
GAUGAAGAACGCAGCGAAAUGCGAUAAGUAAUGUGAAUUGCAGAAUUCAGUGAAUCAUCGAAUCUUUGAACGCACAUUGCGCCCGCCAGUAUUCUGGCGGGCAUGCCUGUUCGAGCGUCAUUACAACCCUCAGGCCCCCGGGCCUGGCGUUGGGGAUCGGCGGAAGCCCCCUGUGGGCACACGCCGUCCCUCAAAUACAGUGGCGGUCCCGCCGCAGCUUCCAUUGCGUAGUAGCUAACACCUCGCAACUGGAGAGCGGCGCGGCCAUGCCGUAAAACACCCAACUUCUGAAUGUUGACCUCGGAUCAGGUAGGAAUACCCGCUGAACUUAAGCAUAUCAAUAAGCGGAGGA